UCCUUGGUGGCCUAAAGGUAAGGACUCAGCAUUGUCACUGCUGUGGCUUGGGUUCAAUCCCUGAGCCAGGAA
RNAcentral lists this transfer RNA (72 nucleotides) under Sus scrofa (pig). It matches the Rfam family "tRNA". From Rfam's summary of the family: Transfer RNA (tRNA) molecules are approximately 80 nucleotides in length. Their secondary structure includes four short double-helical elements and three loops (D, anti-codon, and T loops). Lineage: Eukaryota; Metazoa; Chordata; Mammalia; Artiodactyla; Suidae. The record is from Rfam by way of RNAcentral.